CUGGAAUAAGAAUGCGACCGCCAAAGGGUUCAGCCUUGGGCAUUUCCAGGCCUCUCUUCUUCCUGUGUCUUCGGUCAGGACACCCCAAUCAGGGCACUUCCUCCACUUGUGUCUCUCGGGUAGACUGUCCUCCCGAACCUUCUGUAUCUCUCUAAAUCUCACACACCCUCCAGGCUCAGCUCAAGAUCCCUGCCUGAAGCUUUCUCCCAGUCUUCUAACUCAUUGACCCUCCCACUGGAACAACACUGAGACUUUCCAAGAGGGUGAGAAUGGUUUUCUAAAGCCAUCAAUCUUCACGUGUGUACUUUCUUCAAGAUGAUGUGCCUGUGAACGUGUCCCUGUCACGCUGCUUCUCAGAACUACUGCCCCCUUCAUACCCACCUUUAUAAGAGAAAGGCCAGCCUUCACCCUUCUAGAAUUCUAACCAUGUUGCCUGGAUUCAGGAUGAAAAAGGUGCUCUGGGGCAUCGAGCAAGGAUCCAUCCUCGAGAGAAGGACGCAUUGAUGCUGCAGGAGUAAUAUCUUAGACCACGCACACAUUGAACCAACCAGCGGGGAUCAUAUUUAUUAAGAAAGAGGAGAUGAGGAAAGUGAGGCACAGUUGUGCCCUGCCCAAGGACACAUGAAAGGACCAGGAGGCAUCUGAAAGCAUCACUCAGACUCUCGAGUCCCACUCUGCCACCAAGCUUACUGGCCUCCCUAGGAUCAGUGGUGUAAUCCCCAGGACUGCACUCCUCGCCACGGUGCUCAUUGGCUUGCAUAAUCAAGGCUUCCUGGUCUUUUGUUGAAGGUUUCACAUGCAGAAGAAGCUUCAUGGACCCAUCCCACAGGAAGGAUUUCCAGUAGGAAGGCCGAGGUGUUACCUGGCAGCUGACUCUCAGUUAUACAUAACCCCCACCUCCGGGACCUGGUGAUCUGACAAAGGAGAAGAUAAAUUCGUGGCAUCUAUGGCUUUCAGUUUACUCAUUUAAUAUUUCCCUGGUGCCUCUAUUAGUCUUGUACCAUCUGUGGGAAGACAGGUAAGAAGCUGGUGGAAAAUGGCUUCUUUUCUAGCAAAUUCCUGUGGAAGUGGGAAGCCAUUGUGUUUCUAUCCUUUAUAACAGAACUUACAUUCUUACUGGAAUAAAAUAGAGCUGGGUCUGAAGGUAAAGAGUGUAGAUGAAAGGGCAAGAGAUGAGGUGUCUGUGCAUGCAUGUGUUCAUGCAUGUGUAUGCAUGUGUGCAGGCAUGUGUGUACAUGUGUGUGUGGAUAAACAUGUAUGCAUGUACGUAUGGGAGAUUAUUUGCAAGUAUGAGGGAAGCACUUACAUUUUUCCUUGCUUUCCCUAGGAGAUGCUGCCUAAAG
Molecule: long non-coding RNA, 1343 nt
Filed under: Equus caballus (horse)
Lineage: Eukaryota; Metazoa; Chordata; Mammalia; Perissodactyla; Equidae
Description: lncRNA (ENSECAG00000047115.1)
Source: RNAcentral